UGGGUCAUCGUAGGGGAUUAUGGGUAUUCUCAUUGAAACUGUAUACUGUAUGUUAUGUUGGAAUUGGAUGUUCAUUGGAAAUGUACACAGAUCCUAGGCUAGGGCUUAUGCGCGACGACUACAUUCCGGAAUCUGGAUAUGGAACUAAGACUUCUGAGCCUGGAUCUACCAUGGAUAUUCAAAAUACCUGCUCAGACUGGUCACCAUCAUAAAGGUCAAAGGUUAUCCCCACACCAGCCGUAAGUGUUGUACAUGGAGUAACCUUCAAUCAAUGUGGGAUGAAGCAAAGGAAUAUCUGAAUGGACUGCUGCUGGUCUUGGAUUGAAUGGCAAUAGUUUCUCAAUAACUUACUUCAUUUGAAACGUCAUUGGGAUAAGGUGUGAUGCUCCGUUAUUCAUUUUCUUCAUUAAAAACAAUAAAAAAUUAUAAAUAGUUGUGACAUGACCAACAUGAAAACAACAUAAAUCUUGUACAGAUAUAUUUAUUUUGCUAUUUAAGAGCGAAGUACAUGGAGUGACUCUUGAGUGUGUUAGACCAAAACUGGAUACUUACUUGGAAUAUAGACAUUUCUUUGAUCCGUUUGAGAGAAAGUAGACAUGAUGUGUGACGUCAUGCCGACAAUCUCGGAGGACGGGGUCAGUCUGCGUGACUCGACACUCGGCGAUGACGCCAACUUUGAACAGCUUAUGGUCAACAUGCUAGAGGAACGGGAUCGUUUGAUGGAGACGCUCCGUGAAACUCAGGACUCAUUAGCGAUCACUGAGCAGCGUGUUGAGGAAGUAGAGAAGGAACGCGAUCUUUUACAGAAGCAGAUGUCGUCUAAUCUACCUCGUGUAAGUAUAUUGCAUGCAAUAAAAUUCAAUCCAUGAUCUUCCCAUUUAAACUGAAAUUCCCUCUUGGCCUCUUUAAUAAUUUCUUUUAAUUAUUGAAAAACUUGAUACUUGAAAAGAAUGGUCAUUUUCAUAUGACCAGAAUUAAUCCUUUCAACUGAUGACCUUUUUUUCAUUGAAAUUGUGGAUGUUUUUAUUUUUAAUGAUUGGUUGAUUCUUGAAUGAUGGAUGAAUUCAAGAUUACAGUACAAUCAGAUCUAUUAAACCAAUAUCUCUACAGUCUUAAGUUUGGAAGUCUUCAGAAAUGAAUUUAACUUUGAAGAAAUUUGACAAAUAUACAUUAAAGGGAGAGUGGGGUAAAUACAUGCAAAUGCCACCUUUUUCAUAAUUCCAAUUAUAUCUUUUUAAUGCACAACGGUAGAGACAUGAUUAGAUGUCUAAUACAAGAUCUACAGUAGACCAAGAGAAAUAUGAGAUCUAAUAAAUUUAAUUUUCAUAUUAAUGAGCAUUAAAUAUUAAUGUCAGUGUGCCUUAUUUUCCCCAUCAAUAUGGGGCAAAUGAGGCCCCUUGAUUAAAAAACAUUUUUUUGUAGCUACAUGUAAGUAUACUCAGAGUAAUAAUAGUUUGGUUUGUUGGAUAAAUCACUUAACAUUUACAGGUAUUUAAUCCCAAAGGCCCCCAUUUAAGGAUUUAUUUAUCAAUCCUAUGCAAUAUUAUGAAAAAAAUAUUGUGGGAUUGUGUUUUAAACUGUUAUAGUGUUCAUUUGUCUACAUUAGUGUACAAGCAGGUGGGAAGGUGUCUACACUGCACUUUACUGUUCUAUGUUAAACCAUAAAGUGUUAAUUAUGUUUUAAUCCUGUGGGCCUCAUAUGCCCAUCAGGCAUGUUAAGUUCAUAGGUUUCCAGUCAGAAGAACAGAGGGAAAGUGGUGAAUUUUUGUACAGUACUGACAUGAACAAUGUACAUGAACUUUUUUACAAAAGUAAACUAAGAUAAAAUUUGAUUCACCUUUGGGUGGGUAGAGUACUCGCCUCUCUAAAGUGGCGAUGCUGCAA
Lytechinus variegatus (green sea urchin) is the source of this 1884-nucleotide long non-coding RNA. RefSeq lists it as uncharacterized. The transcript is spliced from 2 exons. The record is from RefSeq and is a predicted model, not a curated record. Lineage: Eukaryota; Metazoa; Echinodermata; Echinoidea; Temnopleuroida; Toxopneustidae.